RNAcentral lists this unclassified non-coding RNA (216 nucleotides) under uncultured Agaricomycetes. RNAcentral's name for it is "sequence contains ITS2". The record is from RNAcentral. Lineage: Eukaryota; Fungi; Basidiomycota; Agaricomycetes.
AUAACAUCAAUGUAGAACAUUUUGUUAUGCUCUACACUUGGAAGUUGAAGGCUUUGCUGGCCAGUCAUGGUCAGCUCCUUUUAAAUUCAUUAGCGGGACUUUGAAAGACUUGGCUUCAGUUUGAUAAUAAUGUCUAUGCUGUCGCUAAGGAAUGUUUAUGUCUGGCUUAUAAUUGUCCUUUGGACUGUCUCUUAAAGAGGCACAACCCACUUUGAC